CCUUUGCGCUAUGCAAGCAUGUUCAGCUAUGGAUGCCUUGGCUCAACGAUUGAUGAAGGGUGCAGUGAAUUGCGAUAAGCACAGUGACUUGCAGAACUCCGUGAAUCAAUUGGGUGUUGAAUGUGGACUGCGAUUUUGGGUCAUCCUUGAAAGCACGUCUUCAUCAUUGUUU
RNAcentral lists this ribosomal RNA (172 nucleotides) under Gonyaulax spinifera. RNAcentral's name for it is "5.8S ribosomal RNA". It matches the Rfam family "5.8S ribosomal RNA". From Rfam's summary of the family: 5.8S ribosomal RNA (5.8S rRNA) is a component of the large subunit of the eukaryotic ribosome. It is transcribed by RNA polymerase I as part of the 45S precursor that also contains 18S and 28S rRNA. The record is from RNAcentral. Lineage: Eukaryota; Dinophyceae; Gonyaulacales; Gonyaulacaceae.